GAUGAACGCUGGCGGCGUGCUUAACACAUGCAAGUCGAACGAUGAAGCCCAGCUUGCUGGGUGGAUUAGUGGCGAACGGGUGAGUAACACGUGAGUAACCUGCCCUUGACUCUGGGAUAAGCCUGGGAAACUGGGUCUAAUACUGGAUAUGACUUCUCAUCGCAUGGUGGGGGGUGGAAAGAUUUAUUGGUCUUGGAUGGACUCGCGGCCUAUCAGCUUGUUGGUGAGGUAAUGGCUCACCAAGGCGACGACGGGUAGCCGGCCUGAGAGGGUGACCGGCCACACUGGGACUGAGACACGGCCCAGACUCCUACGGGAGGCAGCAGUGAGGAAUAUUGCACAAUGGGCGCAGGCCUGAUGCAGCGACGCCGCGUGAGGGGUGACGGCCUUCGGGUUGUAAACCUCUUUCAGUAGGGAAGAAGCGAGAGUGACGGUACCUGCAGAAGAAGCGCCGGCUAACUACGUG
This 466-nucleotide ribosomal RNA is filed under the name uncultured bacterium. RNAcentral describes it as "partial 16S ribosomal RNA". It matches the Rfam family "Bacterial small subunit ribosomal RNA", at positions 28 to 507 of the family's 1533-position model. The record is from RNAcentral.